This 75-nucleotide transfer RNA is filed under the name Corynebacterium jeikeium. RNAcentral describes it as "tRNA-Pro(tgg)". It matches the Rfam family "tRNA". From Rfam's summary of the family: Transfer RNA (tRNA) molecules are approximately 80 nucleotides in length. Lineage: Bacteria; Bacillati; Actinomycetota; Actinomycetes; Mycobacteriales; Corynebacteriaceae. The record is from RNAcentral.
CGGGAUAUGGCGCAGUUUGGUAGCGCACUCGCUUUGGGAGCGAGGGGUCGCAGGUUCAAAUCCUGUUAUCCCGAC